RNAcentral lists this ribosomal RNA (117 nucleotides) under Lepisosteus oculatus (spotted gar). Lineage: Eukaryota; Metazoa; Chordata; Actinopteri; Semionotiformes; Lepisosteidae. The record is from RNAcentral.
AAUAGCAGCAUAAUCACCAUGUAGCCUGAUGUUGUCUGAUUUCAGAAGCUAAGUAAGGCUGGGCUUGGGCUGUAUUGGGAUGGCAGACCUCUUAGGAAAACCUGGUUGCUGCUGUAA